GACGAACGCUGGCGGCGUGCCUAAUACAUGCAAGUUGAGCGAUGAAGAUUGGUGCUUGCACCAAUUUGAAGAGCAGCGAACGGGUGACUAACGCGCGGGGACUCUGCCUUUGAGCGGGGGACCACAUUUGGAAACGAAUGCUAAUAUCACAUAACAACUUUAAACAUAAGUCUUAAGUUUGAAAGAUGCAAUUGCACCACUCAAAGAUGAUUCCGCGUUGUGUUAGCUAGUUGGUGAGGUAAAGGCUCACCAAGGCGACGAUACAUAGCCGGCCUGAGAGGGUGGACAGCCACAUUGGGACUGAGACACGGCCCAAAACCCUACGGGAAGCAGCAGUAGGGAAACUUCGGAAAUGGAGGGAAGUCUGACCGCGCAACGCCGCGGGGGGGAAGAAGGUUUUCGGAUCGUAAAACUCUGUUGGUAGAGAAGAACGUUGGUGUGAGUGGAAAGCUCAUCAAGUGACGGUAACGAACCAGAAAGGGACGGCUAACUACGUG
Molecule: ribosomal RNA, 497 nt
Filed under: uncultured bacterium
Lineage: Bacteria
Description: partial 16S ribosomal RNA
Rfam family: Bacterial small subunit ribosomal RNA
Source: RNAcentral